Molecule: long non-coding RNA, 1744 nt
Filed under: Citrus x clementina
Lineage: Eukaryota; Viridiplantae; Streptophyta; Magnoliopsida; Sapindales; Rutaceae
Description: Citrus clementina (C. clementina) long non-coding RNA (CCLE_LNC006395)
Source: RNAcentral
GGACGCGGCUGUGCCCGCGACUUCCCGCGGGCACCCCGAGGCCCCUCGCAAAGUCUCGCCCCAUUCCGAGUCCGGCGGACGAACUUCGACCGCGCCCCCCACCAAGGCUAUAGCCCACCCGUUUUUUGGCCAUUUUUCCGCUGGGGGGUUUUGGCACCACGACCUUCGGGCGCUUAUUUUUGGACGCGGCUGUGCCCGCGACUUCCCGCGCGCACCUCGAGGCCCCUCGCAAAGUCUCACCCCAUUCCAAGUCCGGCGGACGAACUUCGCCCGCGCCCCCCACCAAGGCUAUAGCCCACCCGUUUUUUGGCCAUUUUUCCGCUGGGGGGUUUUGGCACCACGACCUUUGGGCACAUAUUUUUGGGCGCGGCUUUGUCCGCGGCUUAUUUUUGGUACCCCGAGGCCCCUCGCAAAGUCUCGCCCUAUUCCGAGUCCGGCGGACGAACUUCGCCCGCGCCCCCCACCAAGGCUAUAGCCCACCCGUUUUUUGGCCAUUUUUCCGCUGGGGGGUUUUGGCACCACGACCUUCGGGUGCUUAUUUUUGGGCGCGGCUUUGGCCGCGGCUUAUUUUUGGUACCCCGAGGCCCCUCGCAAAGUGUCGCCCUAUUCCGAGUCCGGCGGACGAACUUCGCCCGCGCCCCCCACCAAGGCUAUAACCCACCCGUUUUUUGGCCAUUUUUCCGCUUGGGGGUUUUGGCACCACGACCUUCGGGCGCUUAUUUUUGGACGCGAUUGUGCCCGCGACUUCCCGCGGGCACCUCGAGGCCCCUCGCAAAGUCUCGCCCCAUUCCAAGUCCGGCGGACGAACUUCGCCCGCGCCCCCCACCAAGGCUAUAGCCCACCCGUUUUUUGGCCAUUUUUCCGCUGGGGGGUUUUGGCACCACGACCUUUGGGCACAUAUUUUUGGGCGCGGCUUUGUCCGCGGCUUAUUUUUGGUACCCCGAGGCCCCUCGCAAAGUCUCGCCCUAUUCCGAAUCCGGCGGACGAACUUCGCCCGCGCCCCCCACCAAGGCUAUAGCCCACCCGUUUUUUGGCCAUUUUUCCGCUAUGGGGUUUUGGCACCACGACCUUCGGGCACUUAUUUUUGGACGCGGCUGUGCCCGCGACUUCCCGCGGGCACCCCGAGGCCCCUCGCACAGUCUCGCCCCAUUCCGAGUCCGGCGGACGAACUUCGCCCGCGCCCCCCACCAAGGCUAUAGCCCACCCGUUUUUUGGCCAUUUUUCCGCUGGGGGGUUUUGGCACCACGACCUUCGGGUGCUUAUUUUUGGACGCGGCUGUGCCCGCGACUUCCCGCGGGCACCUCGAGGGCCCCUCGUAAAGUCUCGCCCCCAUUCCGAGUCCGGGCGGACGAAUUUCGCCCGCGCCCCCCACCAGGGCUAUAGCCCACCCGUUUUUUGGCCAUUUUUCCGCUGGGGGGUUUUGGCACCACGAACUUCGGGCGCUUAUUUUUGAACGCGGCUGUGCCCGCGACUUCCCGCGUGCACCCCGAGGCCCCUCGCAAAGUCUCGCCCCAUUCCGAGUCCGGCGGACGAACUUCGCCCGCGCCCCCCACCAAGGCUAUAGCCCACCCGUUUUUUGGCCAUUUUUCCGCUGGGGGGUUUUGGCACCAAGACCUUCGGGCGCUUAUUUUUGGGCGCGGCUUUGCCCGCGGCUUAUUUUUGGCACCCCGAGGCCCCUCGCAAAGUCUCGCCCCAUUCCGAGUCCGGCGGACGAACUUCGCCCGCGCCCCCCACCAAGGCUAUA